UACGUAGGGUGCGAGCGUUGUCCGGAAUUACUGGGCGUAAAGGGUGCGUAGGUGGUUUCUUAAGUCAGAGGUGAAAGGCUACGGCUCAACCGUAGUAAGCUUUUGGAACUGUAAGACUUGAGUGCAGGAGAGGAGAGUGGAAUUCCUAGUGUAGCGGUGAAAUGCGUAGAUAUUAGGAGGAACACCAGUAGCGAAGGCGGCUCUCUGGACUGUAACUGACGCUGAGGCACGAAAGCGUGGGGAGCAAACAGGAUUAGAUACCCUGGUAGUCCCU
This 274-nucleotide ribosomal RNA is filed under the name uncultured prokaryote. Its description in RNAcentral is "partial 16S ribosomal RNA". It matches the Rfam family "Bacterial small subunit ribosomal RNA", at positions 524 to 798 of the family's 1533-position model. The record is from RNAcentral.